Molecule: ribosomal RNA, 491 nt
Filed under: uncultured bacterium
Lineage: Bacteria
Description: partial 16S ribosomal RNA
Rfam family: Bacterial small subunit ribosomal RNA
Source: RNAcentral
GUGAACGCUGGCGGUAGGCCUAACACAUGCAAGUCGAACGGCAGCACAGUAAGAGCUUGCUCUUACGGGUGGCGAGUGGCGGACGGGUGAGGAAUACAUCGGAAUCUACUUUUUCGUGGGGGAUAACGUAGGGAAACUUACGCUAAUACCGCAUACGACCUACGGGUGAAAGCAGGGGAUCUUCGGACCUUGCGCGAUUGAAUGAGCCGAUGUCGGAUUAGCUAGUUGGCGGGGUAAAGGCCCACCAAGGCGACGAUCCGUAGCUGGUCUGAGAGGAUGAUCAGCCACACUGGAACUGAGACACGGUCCAGACUCCUACGGGAGGCAGCAGUGGGGAAUAUUGGACAAUGGGCGCAAGCCUGAUCCAGCCAUACCGCGUGGGUGAAGAAGGCCUUCGGGUUGUAAAGCCCUUUUAUUGGGAAAGAAAAGCAGCAGGUUAAUACCCCGCUGUUCUGACGGUACCCAAAGAAUAAGCACCGGCUAACUUCGUG